RNAcentral lists this ribosomal RNA (1755 nucleotides) under Chlorospumella boenigkii. RNAcentral describes it as "Chrysophyceae sp. FNitsche-2022b partial large subunit ribosomal RNA". It matches the Rfam family "Eukaryotic large subunit ribosomal RNA", at positions 75 to 1907 of the family's 3401-position model. The record is from RNAcentral. Lineage: Eukaryota; Chrysophyceae.
UUCCCCCAGUAACGGCGAGUGAAGCGGGAAAAGCUCAGGCUGAAAUCUUCGGAGAUGUAGUCUGCAGAAGUGAAGGUCGGGCAAGGAGUCUACAUUGAAGUCGCCUGAGAUGGCGCGCCAAGGAGGGUGAUAGCCCCGUUCAUAAUGUAGAUGACUGCAGCACCUCGCUUCGAAGAGUCGAGUCGUUUGGGAUCGCAGCUCUCAGUGGGAGGUAAAUUCCUUCUAAAGCUAAAUAUGGAUGGGAGACCAAUAGCGAACAAGUACCGUGAGGGAAAGAUGAAAAGAACUUUGAAAAGAGAGUGAAAUAGUACCUGAAAUUGCUGAAAAGGAAAAGUUGGGUAGCAGUGGGGCUGUAGGUACUUGUACCUGUUGCCGGUUAGGCUUGCUUGGGGAUGCGAGAAAAGGUAGGGAAGUCGAUUCGGCUCCCUUGUCCUGUCGUAUGCCCGAGUGACUCUAACAAAAUGCUUCUCAACAACCCGUCUUGAAACACGGACCAAGGAGUCUAACAUGUGCGCGAGUGCUCGGGGUGUAACCUCCCAGCGCGAAAUGAAAGUAAAGGCAGCAAUGCUUAGGUAGGAUGGUGUCAAAACCAGCACUAUCGACCGACCAUGAUCCUUCGGGUGAAAGGUUUGAGUGUGAGCGCAAAUGUUGGGACCCGAAAGAUGGUGAACUAUGCUUGAGUAGGACGAAGCCAGGGGAAACUCUGGGUGGAGGUCCGUAGCGAUUCUAACGUGCAAAUUGAUCGUCGAACUUGGGUAUAGGGGGCGAAAGACUAAUCGAACCAUCUAGUAGCUGGUUCCUCCCGAAAUUUCCCUUAGGAUAGCUGCAACCGAACAGUUUUAUCAGGUAAAGCGAAUGAUUAGAGGCCUCAGGGGUGGAAUGUCCUUGACCUAUUCUCAAACUUUAAAUGGGUAAGAGCCCCGGGUUGCUUAACUGAACUCGGCGGUCGAAUGACGGUUGCUAGUGGGCCAAUCUGGGUAAGCUAGAUUGGCGAUGCGGGAUGCUCCGAACGUUGAGUUAAAGUGCCAAAGUAUCCGCUAACCUAGAUCCCACAAAAGGUGUUGGUUCAUUAAGACAGCAGGACGGUGGCCAUGGAAGUCGGAACCCGCUAAGGAGUGUGUAACAACUCACCUGCCGAAUGAACUAGCCCUGAAAAUGGAUGGCGCUCAAGCGGAUCACUUAUACUCAACCAACACGAUAAGUUCGAAGUCGUGUUGAGUAGGGAGGCGUGGGGAUGGCGACGCAUUCUGUGGCGUAAGCCGGGAUGAAGCCGUCUCUAGUGCAGAUCUUGGUAGCAGUAGCAAAUAUUCAAAUGAGAACUUUGAAGACUGAAGUGGAGAAAGGUUCCAUGUGAACAGUAAUUGGACAUGGGUGAGUCGAUCCUAAGAGAUAGGAAAAUUCUUUUUGAAAGAUUGGUCUUCUUCGGAUGGCCACGCCUAUCGAAAGGGAAGCGGGUUAAUAUUCCCGCACCAGAAGGUGGAUAAUGAGUGGUAACACAACAGAAACUGGGGACGCUGGCUAGAGUCCUGGAAAGAGUUCUCUUUUCUUUUUAACGCUUCUGCCCAACCUUGGAAUCGGAUUGCCCGGCGAUAAGGUAGGGUGGGCGGCAAAGCAGCAUCUUUCUGUGCUGUCCGGUGCGCUCUAGACGGCCCUUGAAAUCCCAGUGGAUUGAUUUAUUCUCACAUCUGGUCGUACUCAUAACCGCCUCAGGUCUCCAAGGUGUGCAGCCUCUAGUCGAUAGAACAAUGUAGAUAA